RNAcentral lists this transfer RNA (58 nucleotides) under Actinomycetes bacterium. RNAcentral describes it as "Actinobacteria bacterium tRNA-Arg". It matches the Rfam family "tRNA", at positions 8 to 62 of the family's 71-position model. From Rfam's summary of the family: Transfer RNA (tRNA) molecules are approximately 80 nucleotides in length. Lineage: Bacteria; Bacillati; Actinomycetota; Actinomycetes. The record is from RNAcentral.
UAGCUCAGUCGGAUAGAGCGUCUGACUACGAAUCAGAAGGUCGCAGGUUCGAGUCCUG